Molecule: ribosomal RNA, 433 nt
Filed under: uncultured bacterium
Lineage: Bacteria
Description: partial 16S ribosomal RNA
Rfam family: Bacterial small subunit ribosomal RNA
Source: RNAcentral
AACGAACGCUGGCGGCAUGCCUAACACAUGCAAGUCGAACGAAGUCAUCGGACUUUGUGGCGCACGGGUGCGUAACGCGUGGGAAUCUGCCCUUGGGUACGGAAUAACUCAGAGAAAUUUGUGCUAAUACCGAAUCAUGUCUUCGGACCAAAGAUUUAUCGCCCAAGGAUGAGCCCGCGUAAGAUUAGCUAGUUGGUGCGGUAAAAGGCUAUCAAGGCGACGAUCUUUAGCUGGUUUGUGAGGAUGGUCAGCCACACUGAGACUGAGACACGGCCCGGACUCCUACGGGAGGCAGCAGUGGGGAAUAGUGGACAAUGGGCGAAGGCAUGAACCAGCAAUGCCGGGUGAGUGAUGAAGGCCCUAGGGUUGUAAAGCGCUUUUACCAGGGAUGAUAAUGACAGUACCUGGAGAAUAAGCUCCGGCUAACUCCGUG